Molecule: ribosomal RNA, 248 nt
Filed under: uncultured bacterium
Lineage: Bacteria
Description: partial 16S ribosomal RNA
Rfam family: Bacterial small subunit ribosomal RNA
Source: RNAcentral
UACAGAGGGUGCGAGCGUUGUCCGGAAUCACUGGGCGUAAAGGGCGCGUAGGUGGCCUGAUAAGUAGGGGGUGAAAUCCUGUGGCUUAACUGCAGGGCUGCCUCCUAGACUGUUAGGCUCGAGCACGGUAGAGGCAGAUGGAAUUCCCGGUGUAGCGGUGGAAUGCGUAGAGAUCGGGAAGAACAUCGGUGGCGAAGGCGGUCUGCUGGGCCGUUGCUGACGCUGAGGCGCGACAGCGUGGGGAGCAA